This 496-nucleotide ribosomal RNA is filed under the name uncultured bacterium. RNAcentral describes it as "partial 16S ribosomal RNA". It matches the Rfam family "Bacterial small subunit ribosomal RNA", at positions 28 to 506 of the family's 1533-position model. The record is from RNAcentral.
GAUGAACGCUGGCGGCGUGCCUAAUACAUGCAAGUCGAGCGAACGGACGAGAAGCUUGCUUCUCUGAUGUUAGCGGCGGACGGGUGAGUAACACGUGGAUAACCUACCUAUAAGACUGGGAUAACUUCGGGAAACCGGAGCUAAUACCGGAUAAUAUUUUGAACCGCAUGGUUCAAAAGUGAAAGACGGUCUUGCUGUCACUUAUAGAUGGAUCCGCGCUGCAUUAGCUAGUUGGUAAGGUAACGGCUUACCAAGGCAACGAUGCAUAGCCGACCUGAGAGGGUGAUCGGCCACAAUGGAACUGAGACACGGUCCAGACUCCUACGGGAGGCAGCAGUAGGGAAUCUUCCGCAAGGGGCGAAAGCCUGACGGAGCAACGCCGCGUGAGUGAUGAAGGUCUUCGGAUCGUAAAACUCUGUUAUUAGGGAAGAACAUAUGUGUAAGUAACUGUGCACAUCUUGACGGUACCUAAUCAGAAAGCCACGGCUAACUACGU